GCUUCCUUGGCUCAGUUGGUAGAGCGUCGGUCUCAUAUCAAGUAUAUGACACUGCCUUAGGCAAGUGCAAUCCGAAGAUCGUGAGUUCGAUCCUCACAGGGAGCA
This is a non-coding RNA of Kalaharituber pfeilii, 105 nucleotides long. Lineage: Eukaryota; Fungi; Ascomycota; Pezizomycetes; Pezizales; Pezizaceae. The record is from the annotation of a GenBank genome assembly.